RNAcentral lists this ribosomal RNA (521 nucleotides) under uncultured bacterium. RNAcentral describes it as "bacterial SSU rRNA". It matches the Rfam family "Bacterial small subunit ribosomal RNA", at positions 120 to 674 of the family's 1533-position model. The record is from RNAcentral.
GGGAACGUGCCCUUCGGUUCGGAAUAACUCAGGGAAACUUGAGCUAAUACCGGAUACGCCCUUUUGGGGAAAGGCUUGACUGCCGAAGGAUCGGCCCGCGUCUGAUUAGCUGGUUGGUGAGGUUAUGGCUCACCAAGGCGACGAUCAGUAGCUGGUCUGAGAGGAUGAUCAGCCACACUGGGACUGAGACACGGCCCAGACUCCUACGGGAGGCAGCAGUGGGGAAUAUUGGACAAUGGGGGCAACCCUGAUCCAGCCAUGCCGCGUGAGUGAUGACGGCCUUAGGGUUGUAAAGCUCUUUUCUCCGGGACGAUAAUGACGGUACCGGAGGAAUAAGCCCCGGCUAACUUCGUGCCAGCAGCCGCGGUAAUACGAAGGGGGCUAGCGUUGCUCGGAAUCACUGGGCGUAAAGGGCGCGUAGGCGGCUGAUUUAGUCGAGGGUGAAAGCCCGUGGCUCAACCACGGAAUGGCCUUCGAUACUGGUUGGCUUGAGACCGGAAGAGGACAGCGGAACUGCGAGU